Mastomys coucha (southern multimammate mouse) is the source of this 413-nucleotide long non-coding RNA. RefSeq lists it as uncharacterized. The transcript is spliced from 3 exons. The record is from RefSeq and is a predicted model, not a curated record. NCBI's taxonomy places the organism in Eukaryota, Metazoa, Chordata, Mammalia, Rodentia, Muridae.
CAUCAAUUAUUUCUGCUCAUCAAGGCUCUUUAAUGCAGUCCCCUAGAGAUUCCUUUUAACUUAAGGUCACUGAGGAGGAAUGUGAGAGAAUCAGAAAUGGAGCUUCUUAAUCAAGAGAACAAGCAGUCUAUGUGUAUUCAUAGGAAUCACCACAAACUAUCAACUAAGUUCAAUGAAAUCAGGGAUCUCACUCUCAAGCUCUAAUGUUGAGAUGAGGACAGUCAUCCUCCACAAGCAGAUGGCAUCAGGUACUUCGACCUGAGCAUAAAGGAGAACCUGUAUCAUUAUUGAAACAGAUUGUUGUAUAUCUAAUACUGAUUGAUAACUGAUCAGUGUGUGUUACAGUCAUCUGUGGUUUACUUCAGAUGUUGCCUUGACUUUUUAUGAUUUUUAAUACAAUGCUUCUCAAGCUA